AUGCUCGUUUUGGCAGCACAUACACUAAAACUGGAACGAUACAGAGAAGAUUAGCACGGCCCCUGCGCAAGGAUGACACACAAACUCGUGAAGCAUUCCAUAUUUUU
Small nuclear RNA from Camelus dromedarius (Arabian camel), 107 nucleotides. The record is from Ensembl. NCBI's taxonomy places the organism in Eukaryota, Metazoa, Chordata, Mammalia, Artiodactyla, Camelidae.